Molecule: ribosomal RNA, 752 nt
Filed under: uncultured bacterium
Lineage: Bacteria
Description: bacterial SSU rRNA
Rfam family: Bacterial small subunit ribosomal RNA
Source: RNAcentral
AGAGUUUGAUCAUGGCUCAGAACGAACGCUGGCGGCAUGCCUAACACAUGCAAGUCGAACGUGAUCUGUUCCUUCGGGGAUGGUGAAAGUGGCAGACGGGUGAGUAACGCGUGGGAACCUGCCCCAAGGUAGGGAAUAACCGCGGGAAACUGCGGCUAAUACCCUAUGUGCCCUACGGGGCAAAGAUUUAUCGCCUUGGGAGGGGCCCGCGUCGGAUUAGGUAGUUGGUAGGGUAACGGCCUACCAAGCCUACGAUCCGUAGCUGGUCUGAGAGGAUGAUCAGCCACACUGGGACUGAGAUACGGCCCAGACUCCUACGGGAGGCAGCAGUGGGGAAUAUUGGACAAUGGGGGCAACCCUGAUCCAGCAAUGCCGCGUGAGUGAUGAAGGCCUUCGGGUUGUAAAGCUCUUUCGGCGGGGAAGAUGAUGACGGUACCCGCAGAAGAAGCCCCGGCUAACUUCGUGCCAGCAGCCGCGGUAAUACGAAGGGGGCUAGCGUUGUUCGGAAUUACUGGGCGUAAAGGGCGCGUAGGCUGUGCUGUAAGUCAGGCGUGAAAUCCCCGGGCUCAACCUGGGAAUUGCGCAUGAUACUGCGGCGCUGGAAGGCGGGAGAGGAUGGCGGAAUUCCCAGUGUAGAGGUGAAAUUCGUAGAUAUUGGGAAGAACACCGGGCGAAGGCGGCCAUCUGGCCCGCAAUUGACGCUGAGGCGCGAAAGCGUGGGGAGCAAACAGGAUUAGAUACCCCAGUAGUCC